UUUUUUUUGUUGAAAAAAAUA
This 21-nucleotide non-coding RNA is filed under the name Caenorhabditis elegans. Lineage: Eukaryota; Metazoa; Nematoda; Chromadorea; Rhabditida; Rhabditidae. The record is from RNAcentral.